CAGGAGAGAACAGUCUGAAUCACUGAAACAUCGGAGUAGUUGAGUAAUAAACACAUAUAUGUAUUGCCUUCAAGUCUUAGAGUGAUAUAAAGUAGUCUUAACUGAAUAUUUCUUAGUUUAAUUAUUUGAACCGGUUGAUUGUAUUGACUAAAUAUAAUUAUCUGAAGUAUUUAUGAUGAGCAUAUUGUUAUUUCUAAGUACUUCUGAGUUAUUGAGGGUGCUUACACAAUACUGAAGAAAGCAUGAUUCUUCCUUUCGUUUUAUUUAUAUGAAUCUUGUAGCAGUCUUUUAUAAAAAGUAAAACUAGCCCCAGCCCCAAUCUUAAAUUAUCAUAGUUUUUGAUUAUUAUCCAAUAAAUUCGGCUUAUCUAAAUUUCAUAUACAGAUUGAUAAUUUUUCAUUUUGUAUGGGUAUUUAGAUGGUAAACACUUUCCACAGAGUAUAUUUCUGUUCACAAACUACUUAAUUAGUAUUGGCUUGAUAUUCUCCCAAAUCUUACAGAACUUUGAAAUGUCAUUUGAUGAGCUUCAAAAAUGAUAUGUUACUUAAGUAAAUGCUGGCAUCCUUACUAAUCUUUCCACAUACAAAAUCUUGAUGCAUUUGAUGCCACUGAACAAUAAUAGCAUAAAGAACAGGACUCACAGUCUAGACUGGAUUGAGUUUUAAUUAAACUUUUUCAGCCAUAACCUGAUAAGAAUCAGUUUGGGUCUAGAAGUAACCAGACUGUGGGCCUCUAUUACUGUAGUGAGCCAGUGUUUGUGUUUACUGCCACACUUGCAGAGCAGUGCCAGUUUGCAGCUGAGACUGUCAUGUGACUUUGACUUUUGGUAACUACUUGUUUAUAUCCAAAAGCAGUUUAGAUUUUAUGGAAGUAGCUCAUGAUUGUUUGGACAAGCAAGGUAGGUGAAUUUCAGUUAUAUUUAAAGUGCAAUUAUGGAAACCCUAGAGUAGUGUGUUCUUUCCAGGAAAAAAACCUUAAGUGUAUUUGUAGACUAUCCUAGCCUGACAACUUUUCUGAACAUACAUAAAAUUUUGACAAGGUUCAUGCGUGUGAUUUUUCAAGUUACCUAUUUUGUGUUGAUUUAAAAUUUCAAGGAGAAAUAGAAAUGUUCUAGCCAAGGAGAACUGCAUAGUUAAUUUUUUUGCUGCUAACAUAAGCAUUUAUUUCUCACAGCUAAGAAUCUCUUUUAAGUUAGUUUUGUUACAAAGAAAGGCCAUUCUUGUAAGACGGAUGACAUUUUCCUGAAUGGAAAAUGAAAUAGAUCCAUUGCUCUGAACAAAACACCUUAAAUUUGUGCCUUUUCAAAUUAUAGGAAUAGUAAUAAUUAGUCAAAUAUUUGUCUGAACUCUUUUUUCCUAAUUGCUCUCAUUUUUCCUUAGAUCUGCCCUCCACAAAUGGUUACAUUGUUUGCUUUUGCCUGUUGGCUUUUCAGGCUCCUUUGGCCAGGCCUCACCCUAUCACUGUCAGAAGCUGUUCACUGGAUGUAUUUUUCUAUUCCUUUUAUGUUGCUUUACUUUUUAAGUCACUUUGAUGAAACUCUGGCUGCUUCUCAUGUUUUUAAAAUGAAUGCAAUGAUUAACAAUCUUUACAUUUCAACCCUUUAAAAUGUUUGUAAAGGCGAGAAAUAAUGUAGAACGAACAGAAAUCUAAUUUGGAAUGUGAUUCUCAGUUUGGUUGAAUUUUCUCAUCUACAAAAUGUGGACAAUAACCUACCUCACAGAUGUGUGUGAGUAACUGUUUGAAGGCCCUUGCUUAAAUACAGGGUUUAUCAUCAUAUUUAAGGUAAAUCCCUUCCUUUUUUUUUUUUAAAGUGGGUAUCUUUGAUACUGAUAGGAUGAGUAUUGAUUUUAGGUAAGUCUCAUGUAGUAAGAAUAUAGUGGUAAAAAGAUUUAAGACUACAGUUUCACAAAUUAUGGUAUUCUUAUUUUAAGUGACUUAAAAUUUCUUGAAAAUAUCAAAUACUCAAAUUUUGAAUUUGUCUUUUGUGGCAACGAAUAUUCAGAACCUCUUAAAAUGUUGGCUGAAGCUGCCUUAAUGUACCAAAAUACAGCUUUCUCUCAAGACUGUUCACAAAUAUCUCUGGUUGUACAAUGUUUUGUGUGUUUAAUAUAAAAUUGUUAGAGAACUGUGAACUCUCAGCAGAGUAAUCUAAAUAUUGUUUUAAGAAGAAUGCUUGUGUUCUUUGUCAAGUAUGCUUAAAUAUAAAGUGGAUUUUGAGUGCAACAAAAAAAACUGAAAGUUGAUAGCCAUCAGUUAUGACCAUGACAAUCCUAAGAAAAUGUAAGAUUGGAUAUUAAUUAGUCAAAAAAUUUUCAAUAUCCUGCGUUCAUUCUUUCUUAGCCUGUUUUUGAAAAAGAAUAUCCCGUAGGCUAAUAUAUUCACCUGUUGAAGCACUUGAUAUGUAUCUAUUAAAAUCUUUUUAAAACUUUUGAAAUUGAGAUCACUUUUUAUAAUUUAUUUCUAGAAAAAGGAAAAAAGCCCCGACAUUGAGUGCUUUUGUGUUUUAAUGCCAUAGAUUCAAAUUUCAGUUUUGUUUGUUGUGUAUUUUUUGUGGGUAUUAAAUGAUCAGUGGGAUGGCUCUUCCAGUAACCAUGUGGUAAAGAUGUCAUUUUGAACUACACAGCAGUUCAUAGUUACAGGUUCUCUCUGAUUAAUAUUUGCACUGUGCAUAUUCAUAAGUAACAAACACAAAAGAGAAAAGCAGCCUGAUUGCUUAUAAGCUUUUUUCACAAAAUCAAAUUAAAGUCUCUA
RNAcentral lists this long non-coding RNA (2751 nucleotides) under Canis lupus familiaris (dog). RNAcentral's name for it is "lncRNA (ENSCAFG00000052254.1)". The record is from RNAcentral. Lineage: Eukaryota; Metazoa; Chordata; Mammalia; Carnivora; Canidae.